UACGUAGGGGGCGAGCGUUGUCCGGAAUUACUGGGCGUAAAGAGCACGUAGGCGGGAACUUAAGUCAGGUGUGAAAGACCGUGGCUCAACCACGGGUAUGCAUUUGAAACUGGGUUUCUUGAGUAUCAGAGGGGAAAGCGGAAUUCCUGGUGGAGCGGUAAGAUGCGCAGAUAUUAGGAGGAACACCAGUGGCGAAGGCGGCUUUCUGGACUGUAACUGACGCUGAGGCGCGAAAGCGUGGGGAGCAAACGGGAUUAGAUACUCGGGUAGUUCCUGAG
This 278-nucleotide ribosomal RNA is filed under the name uncultured prokaryote. RNAcentral describes it as "partial 16S ribosomal RNA". It matches the Rfam family "Bacterial small subunit ribosomal RNA", at positions 524 to 801 of the family's 1533-position model. The record is from RNAcentral.